Neopelma chrysocephalum (saffron-crested tyrant-manakin) is the source of this 446-nucleotide long non-coding RNA. RefSeq lists it as uncharacterized. The transcript has 3 exons. The record is from RefSeq and is a predicted model, not a curated record. NCBI's taxonomy places the organism in Eukaryota, Metazoa, Chordata, Aves, Passeriformes, Pipridae.
GUGAGGUUGCCAUCACACCAUCUUUAAAGUGUGCUGUAAAGAAUAUAUUCCUUACAAAUCUGCCUGGAAUUAGACUUGGAGGCAAGGAGAUGGAUUAGAUGGUGUUUUGAAUCUCUCUGAGGGCUGUACUCAAGGAUCUUCUGCUCCUGAUAAGUGUUCAAUCACAAAGUCUUCUGAACAAAGUCCUCAGGGCUUGGUGAUUCACACAAAUGUGAGGAGCUCCCUGAAGGACAGCAGGGCAGGAAGCCUUGACCAAGCAGGCUGGAUGGGGGCAAUCACAGGAGACACCAGGCUGGCAGAGCUUGGGCCCUGAUGGAAGGAUGUUCACCUCCAAGGAAUGCAUUAAGGGAAAUCAACCAUGAGCACAUAAGGAUGAAGCAGGAGAGUAACCAAUGUUGGUAUUGCAUAUUCAAAGCAAAAAAAUGCAAGAAUGUCCUUUUAAUUGA